Molecule: ribosomal RNA, 588 nt
Filed under: bacterium 4746K6-B5
Lineage: Bacteria
Description: bacterial SSU rRNA
Rfam family: Bacterial small subunit ribosomal RNA
Source: RNAcentral
AGCUUGCUACUUUGCUGACGAGCGGCGGACGGGUGAGUAAUGCUUGGGAACAUGCCUUGAGGUGGGGGACAACAGUUGGAAACGACUGCUAAUACCGCAUAAUGUCUACGGACCAAAGGGGGCUUCGGCUCUCGCCUUUAGAUUGGCCCAAGUGGGAUUAGCUAGUUGGUGAGGUAAUGGCUCACCAAGGCGACGAUCCCUAGCUGGUUUGAGAGGAUGAUCAGCCACACUGGGACUGAGACACGGCCCAGACUCAUACGGGAGGCAGCAGUGGGGAAUAUUGCACAAUGGGCGCAAGCCUGAUGCAGCCAUGCCGCGUGUGUGAAGAAGGCCUUCGGGUUGUAAAGCACUUUCAGUCAGGAGGAAAGGUUAGUAGUUAAUACCUGCUAGCUGUGACGUUACUGACAGAAGAAGCACCGGCUAACUCCGUGCCAGCAGCCGCGGUAAUACGGAGGGUGCGAGCGUUAAUCGGAAUUACUGGGCGUAAAGCGUACGCAGGCGGUUUGUUAAGCGAGAUGUGAAAGCCCCGGGCUCAACCUGGGAACUGCAUUUCGAACUGGCAAACUAGAGUGUGAUAGAGGGUGGUAG